ACCACCUGGUAUUUUGGACCCAUGAUUGCCUGAUAAUUGUGUCAGACUUAAAAAAAUGAUAUAGUGAGUGGUUUGAGUUUUGAUAGUGUAAAUGGAAUAAGAAAUAAAAUUUGAGAGAGCCAUCAAAAUGAGAGUGUUUUGUAGUAUAUUAUCAAAUAAUUUUUUUUGGAGUGGAUUGUAUAUGGAGUUUUUUGUAGUGUACAACCAAAUUUCGGGUUUGAAUUAUAUACUGUCAUAUUUUAUUGGAGUUGAAUUAUAUACUGUCAAGUUCACCCUAAAGGUUAUGCUAUUAAGGGUUGGAUGAUUAUUUGCACCAUAGAUGGCUAAUCGAGUUGUCCAAUAUGCAGAUGGACAUUAUCUAUGGUGCAAUAGUGUUUAUUCCACAACUAGGUUCUGAUUGGAACCGGUUGGUAGAGUCUCCAUGCAAAGGUAUCUCAUGGGACCUCAUGGGACAAUGGAGGAAGAAAAGGUUUAGAGUAGAAGACGAUUAAUUAUGAAGAAACUAGUACCGAUGCCACGUAGACCUGAUUCAAGCAGAAGACGAUUAAUUGUGAAGAAACUAGUAUUGAAAAUAAUUGUAUUAUUUCUUAAGAAUGUUAUAUUUAUCGUUUUAAAAAUAAUUUAAAAGAAUAUUUAAAAUUAAAUAAGACAUUUUAUUUCUCGGCUA
Long non-coding RNA from Gossypium raimondii (Peruvian cotton), 667 nucleotides. RefSeq lists it as uncharacterized. The record is from RefSeq and is a predicted model, not a curated record. The transcript has 2 exons. Lineage: Eukaryota; Viridiplantae; Streptophyta; Magnoliopsida; Malvales; Malvaceae.